GUCAAUAUUGAUUUACUUGAGGUCAAGGAAGCACGUAAACACUUUGACAAGGCUAGUCUCAUUUACGACCAGGCUCGUGAAAAAGUUCUUUCAGUGAGAAAAAGUACAAAGAGUAAUAUUGCCAAUGUUUUGGAAGAGGAACUUCAUAAUGCAAGGUCAACAUUUGAGCAGGCUCGUUUUAAUCUAGUGAGUG
This is a long non-coding RNA of Hibiscus syriacus, 193 nucleotides long. RefSeq lists it as uncharacterized. The transcript has 4 exons. The record is from RefSeq and is a predicted model, not a curated record. NCBI's taxonomy places the organism in Eukaryota, Viridiplantae, Streptophyta, Magnoliopsida, Malvales, Malvaceae.